Molecule: transfer RNA, 68 nt
Filed under: Ellopostoma mystax (enigmatic loach)
Lineage: Eukaryota; Metazoa; Chordata; Actinopteri; Cypriniformes; Ellopostomatidae
Description: tRNA-Ser
Source: RNAcentral
GAGAGAGGCCCGAUGGCAGUGAGCACUGCUAAUUCUUACAUCCCUGGUUAGACCCCAGGGCUCCCUCG